This 253-nucleotide ribosomal RNA is filed under the name uncultured bacterium. RNAcentral's name for it is "partial 16S ribosomal RNA". It matches the Rfam family "Bacterial small subunit ribosomal RNA", at positions 524 to 776 of the family's 1533-position model. The record is from RNAcentral.
UACGGAGGGUGCAAGCGUUAUCCGGAUUUACUGGGUUUAAAGGGUGCGUAGGUGGAUAAUUAAGUCAGUGGUGAAAUCUUCAGGCUUAACCUGGAAACUGCCAUUGAUACUAUUUAUCUUGAAUACUUUGGAGGUAAGCGGAAUAUGUCAUGUAGCGGUGAAAUGCUUAGAUAUGACAUAGAACACCAAUUGCGAAGGCAGCUUACUACACAGUAAUUGACACUGAGGCACGAAAGCGUGGGGAGCAAACAGG